RNAcentral lists this ribosomal RNA (347 nucleotides) under uncultured bacterium. RNAcentral describes it as "bacterial SSU rRNA". It matches the Rfam family "Bacterial small subunit ribosomal RNA", at positions 64 to 439 of the family's 1533-position model. The record is from RNAcentral.
GAGCGCCGUAGCAAUACGGAGCGGCAGACGGGAGAGUAACACGUGGGAACGUACCCUUCGGUUCGGAAUAACUCAGGGAAACUUGAGCUAAUACCGGAUACGUCCGAAAGGAGAAAGAUUUAUCGCCGAGGGAUCGGCCCGCGUCCGAUUAGCUAGUUGGUGAGGUAAUGGCUCACCAAGGCGACGAUCGGUAGCUGGUCUGAGAGGAUGAUCAGCCUCACUGGGACUGAGACACGGCCCAGACUCCUACGGGAGGCAGCAGUGGGGAAUAUUGGACAAUGGGGGCAACCCUGAUCCAGCCAUGCCGCGUGAGUGAAGAAGGCCUUCGGGUUGUAAAGCUCUUUCGG